GUAAAGGCGAUGAAGAGAAGAGUAGGAAGAGCUGAUGCUUCACAGAGAACCCCUGCAGCUGGAAAUGGGGUAGGCGGAUAUCUUCUGAACCAAAUCUCCGAGCCUCUUAUCGGAACCAUACAGGGGAUGAUAAGGACGGGAGCUCCCGUUACAGAGCAGGGGUAUAAGCAAACGCAGAGUUUGUCGUACUUGAAAAGAUCGGUAUGGUGACGUAUCGGUAAACUGGGGUGGCACCGCGAGGAUAAGGAUCUCGUCCCCAAG
Molecule: non-coding RNA, 261 nt
Filed under: Halobacillus sp.
Lineage: Bacteria; Bacillati; Bacillota; Bacilli; Caryophanales; Bacillaceae
Description: T-box sequence
Rfam family: T-box leader
About the family: Uncharged tRNA acts as the effector for transcription antitermination of genes in the T-box leader family.
Source: RNAcentral